AAGUCCCGUAACGAGCGCAACCCUUGUCCUCAGUUACCAGCGGUUCGGCCGGGAACUCUGGGGAGACUGCCGGUGACAAACCGGAGGAAGGUGGGGAUGACGUCAAGUCAUCGUGGCCCUUACGGCCUGGGCUACACACGUGCUACAAUGGUCGGUACAGAGGGUUGCCAAGCCGCGAGGUGGAGCUAAUCCCAUAAAACCGAUCGUAGUCCGGAUCGCAGUCUGCAACUCGACUGCGUGAAGUCGGAAUCGCUAGUAAUCGCGAAUCAGAAUGUCGCGGUGAAUACGUUCCCGGGCCUU
This 300-nucleotide ribosomal RNA is filed under the name uncultured bacterium. RNAcentral describes it as "bacterial SSU rRNA". It matches the Rfam family "Bacterial small subunit ribosomal RNA", at positions 1082 to 1382 of the family's 1533-position model. The record is from RNAcentral.